UCUGGAGACAGUAGGCAUCUUUUCACUAGGGACUGUCUUCUCUCUGCAUGGCUGAAAGCAAGGACCCUGACCCCUCCCUGCAGAGGACUCGUGCCUGCCUUCCAAGGCCAGUGGUUUGGUGUGCAGAAAUGCUGAGGUCCCAGUCUCAGCUGAGACAGGCAGAGAGAUGCUUCAGUGAUUCACACCCUCGUGUCGUGCAAGCACUGGAGAGUUUCAAAGGGUGUAGCAUGCUGUCUGGAAAGAUGAAGUUCAGAGACUUCAAGAAGUGAUGAAUUCGUCAUACCCCCUCAGGACUUACUUCAAUGCUUAAUUAAUUGCUGUUAAGAUGUGCACCUUAUUGCUAGCUGAAACAUAGUUAUCUUCAGCCUCCAGCCAUGGGAUCUCGUUAUGUGUUGCCUGAUAGAUUAAAGAGUCUCUACAAUAAAAAUCUAUGCAAAAAA
This is a long non-coding RNA of Haemorhous mexicanus (house finch), 440 nucleotides long. RefSeq lists it as uncharacterized. The transcript has 4 exons. The record is from RefSeq and is a predicted model, not a curated record. NCBI's taxonomy places the organism in Eukaryota, Metazoa, Chordata, Aves, Passeriformes, Fringillidae.